This 468-nucleotide ribosomal RNA is filed under the name uncultured bacterium. Its description in RNAcentral is "partial 16S ribosomal RNA". It matches the Rfam family "Bacterial small subunit ribosomal RNA", at positions 28 to 507 of the family's 1533-position model. The record is from RNAcentral.
GACGAACGCUGGCGGCGUGCUUAACACAUGCAAGUCGAACGGACAGGUCCUGCUUUUGUGGGGUGCUCGAGUGGCGAACGGGUGAGUAACACGUGAGUAACCUGCCCUUGACUUUGAGAUAACUUCAGGAAACUGGGGCUCAUAGCGGGUAGGAGCUCCUGCUGCAUGGUGGGGGUUGGAAAGUUUCGGCGGUUGGGGGUGGACUCGCGGCCUAUCAGCUUGAUGGUGGGGUAGUGGCUUACCAAGGCUUUGAAGGGUAGCCGGCCUGAGAGGGUGACCGGCCACAUUGGGACUGAGAUACGGCCCAGACUCCUACGGGAGGCAGCAGUGGAGAAUAUUGCACAAUGGGCGGAAGCCUGAUGCAGCAACGCCGUGUGCGGGAUGACGGCCAUCGGGUUGUAAACCGCUUUCGCCUGUGACGAAGCGUGAGUGACGGUAAUGGGUAAAGAAGCACCGGCUAACUACGUG